UACGUAGGUGGCAAGCGUUGUCCGGAUUCACUGGGUUUAAAGGGUGCGUAGGUGGGCAGGUAAGUCAGUGGUGAAAUCUCCGGGCUUAACCCGGAAACUGCCAUUGAUACUAUCUGUCUUGAAUACCCUGGAGGUGAGCGGAAUAUGUCAUGUAGCGGUGAAAUGCUUAGAUAUGACAUAGAACACCCAUUGCGAAGGCAGCUCACUACGGGAAUAUUGACACUGAGGCACGAAAGCGUGGGGAUCAAACAGG
This 253-nucleotide ribosomal RNA is filed under the name uncultured bacterium. RNAcentral's name for it is "partial 16S ribosomal RNA". It matches the Rfam family "Bacterial small subunit ribosomal RNA", at positions 524 to 776 of the family's 1533-position model. The record is from RNAcentral.